Molecule: ribosomal RNA, 1274 nt
Filed under: Ectopleura larynx
Lineage: Eukaryota; Metazoa; Cnidaria; Hydrozoa; Anthoathecata; Tubulariidae
Description: partial large subunit ribosomal RNA
Rfam family: Bacterial large subunit ribosomal RNA
Source: RNAcentral
CAGAAAUAGCUGGUUCUCUAUGAAAUUUAUUUAAGUAAAAAAUUUAGUAUAAAUUUUCAGAUUAUAAGUUAAAAGAUUUAUAAUCAAAAGAAAGACAAUUCUAGACUAAUAAGAAAAAACUCAAUUUAUAUAAUUUAAAAUAGGUCAUGAUAAAGACAAUUAGGAAGUAGGCUUAGAACCAGUCAUAUUAGUAAAAUUACGUAAUAGUUUACUAAAUAAAAAUUAUACUUAAAUAAUUAAGUAAAAAAAAUUUUAUUUAUAGUUUUAGUAGUAGAGUUUUAUUAAAUAUAUUUUGUGAAAAUUUAAUAAGAAAUAAUGUAAGUAUGAGUAGAAUAAAAUUUAUUCUUGAGAGCUCUUAAUGAAUUAGUAAUUAAGUUAAAGCAGUCCCUAAAUAAAAAAUGGGUAAAGCAAGAUUUUAGGCUAGAAAAAUUUGUUUGAAUUUCUGUAUAAUCUAAAUCAAGCAAGAAUACUAAAAAAAAUAAAUUUCCCCUAAGGAACUCGACAAAAUCAGAUAUCGACUGUUUACCAAAAACAUAGCCUCUAUAAAAAUAUUAGAGGUGAUGCCUGCCCAGUGGGGAUGGUAUAAAAAAUUAUAGUGAAAUUUUAUUUUCCCUAAACGGAUGCGGUAACUCUGACUGUAAUAAAGUAGCAUAAUUAAUUGUCAUUUAAUUGGUGGAGAGAAUGAAUGGCUAAACGUAUGUCUCAUUGUCUUGGGGGAAAGUUUUUGAAAUUAGAAUAAUAGUGAAGAUCCUAUUAAUCACCGUUAGACGAAAAGACCCUAUAGAGCUUGACUAUACUCUGGAAAUGACUUUCUGGAUUGGUAGUUUAGUUGGGGCGACUAUCUUUUAUAAGUAACAAAGAUAAGCAUAAUAAUGAAAAAGUUUUAUUGUUUAAUUAAUAAAUUUAACAAUUACUAAAGUAGGCUAUAAUGACCCAUUAGAAUUAAAAUAAAUCUAAUGAUUAUUAAAUAAAAGCUACCUUAGGGAUAACAGGAUAAUUUUGUUUUAGAGAUCAUAUCAAAUACAAAGUUUGUCACCUCUAUGUUGAAUUAAGAUGACCGAAUAAUGCAGAAGUUAUUUAAGGUAGGUCUGUUCGACCUUUAAAAUCUUACAUGAUUUGAGUUCAUUCCGUCGUAAGACAGGAAGGUUUCUAUCUUCGGUUUUAGAUCAUAAAAGACUUUUAGUACGAAAGGAAGUAAGUCUCUACUAAUCAAUAAUUUCAAUUAGGAUAAAAAAAUUGAAUGCUUCUAAAUUUAAUUUUAUGAUUGAUAAUUA